Molecule: ribosomal RNA, 16 nt
Filed under: Alternaria tenuissima
Lineage: Eukaryota; Fungi; Ascomycota; Dothideomycetes; Pleosporales; Pleosporaceae
Also listed under: 1 other name
Description: partial 18S ribosomal RNA
Source: RNAcentral
UUGCGGAGGGAUCAUU